RNAcentral lists this long non-coding RNA (543 nucleotides) under Mus caroli (Ryukyu mouse). RNAcentral's name for it is "lncRNA (MGP_CAROLIEiJ_G0005807.1)". The record is from RNAcentral. Lineage: Eukaryota; Metazoa; Chordata; Mammalia; Rodentia; Muridae.
GGCUGGAGUCUGCUACUCUUGUCUGAAUAUGGCUAAAGGAGUGACUUGGCUUUUCUAGGCUCCAGUUCUUUAAAUACUAAAUAAGAGCAACAGAGUGGACAACUAGAUAUCCAACCAGGUAACUUGGUGACUUGGAAGUUCUUGUGUCUAUGCUUCAUGGAUGGGAAUAGCCCUAAGCAGCAAGAAGGCCUGUGGGAUGAGUGGAGUGAUCAAACACUAAGGCAGGGACAAGGGAUCUUCAUGAAAGAGGGGACUCCUGCAUGUCUCAGUGUUCAAAGCUAGCAUCAUGGCAGAGGAACAUCGGCUUCUUCAUGGUGCUUCCAGCAGGUAAGUCUCUGUGAACAAUUAUCUAGAUUAACUGAGUUGGGAACACCUAGCCUAAGGUGAAUGGCACCAUUUCCAAGGCUGCUGGAUUGCUGGAUUGCUGGAUUGCUGGAUUGCUGGAUUGCUGAAUUGCACAAAAUGGAAAAAGCCACCUCAAGAACAUCAUCAUGGAAUGUUUUCUUUAAUCUGACCAGUUUGCUGGAAUAAUCUACUUAAAGU